UACAUGGGGUGCAAACGUUGCUCGGAAUUAUUGGGCGUAAAGCGCACGUAGGCGGUUUGUUAAGUCGGAUGUGAAAUCCCUCGGCUCAACUGAGGAAGUGCAUCCGAAACUGGCAGGCUUGAGUACUAAAGAGGGUCGCGGAAUUCCCGGUGUAGAGGUGAAAUUCGUAGAUAUCGGGAGGAACACCGGUGGCGAAGGCGGCGACCUGGGUAGAUACUGACGCUGGGGUGCGAAAGCGUGGGGAGCAAACAGG
This 253-nucleotide ribosomal RNA is filed under the name uncultured bacterium. RNAcentral's name for it is "partial 16S ribosomal RNA". It matches the Rfam family "Bacterial small subunit ribosomal RNA", at positions 524 to 776 of the family's 1533-position model. The record is from RNAcentral.